RNAcentral lists this ribosomal RNA (1059 nucleotides) under Veillonella sp. Its description in RNAcentral is "partial 23S ribosomal RNA". It matches the Rfam family "Bacterial large subunit ribosomal RNA", at positions 394 to 1463 of the family's 2925-position model. Lineage: Bacteria; Bacillati; Bacillota; Negativicutes; Veillonellales; Veillonellaceae. The record is from RNAcentral.
CUUUAGAUAUGAUCCAGAGUACCACGGGACACGUGAAACCCUGUGGGAAGCAGGAGGGACCACCCUCCAAGGCUAAAUACUACCUAGUGACCGAUAGCGUAUAGUACCGUGAGGGAAAGGUGAAAAGAACCCCGGGAGGGGAGUGAAAUAGAACCUGAAACCCUACACUUACAAGCUGUGGAAGCACAUUUCUUGUGUGACCGCGUACUUUUUGUAGAACGGGCCAACGAGUUACGUUAAGUAGCAAGGUUAAGCACUUAUGGUGUGAAGCCGUAGCGAAAGCGAGUUUUAACUGAGCGUACAGUUAUUUGACGUAGACCCGAAACCGGGCGACCUACCCAUGAGCAGGAUGAAACGAAAGUAAAAUUUCGCGGAGGUCCGAACCCACGAGCGUUGAAAAGCUCGGGGAUGACUUGUGGGUAGCGGUGAAAUUCCAAUCGAGCCCGGAGAUAGCUGGUUCUCCCCGAAAUAGCUUUAGGGCUAGCCUUAAGUUUAGAGAUACGGAGGUAGAGCACUGAAUGUCCUAGGGGGUAUUGCACUUACCGAAGACUAUCAAACUCCGAAUGCCGUUAUCUUUUACUUAGGAGUCAGACUGUGGGUGAUAAGAUUCAUAGUCGAGAGGGUAACAACCCAGAUCGUCAGCUAAGGUCCCUAAAUGUAAGUUAAGUGGUAAAGGAUGUGGGAUUGCACAGACAACCAGGAUGUUGGCUUAGAAGCAGCCACUCAUUUAAAGAGUGCGUAAUAGCUCACUGGUCGAGUGAUCCUGCGCCGAAAAUUUCCGGGGCUAAAACUUACUACCGAAGCUACGACAUCAUUUAUGAUGGGUAGGGGAGCUUCCCAUACGGGUUGAAGCAUGACCGUAAGGACAUGUGGACUGUAUGGGAGUGAGAAUGUUGGCAUGAGUAGCGAGAUGUGGGUGAGAAUCCCACAGGCCGUAAACCCAAGGUUUCCAGGGGAAGGUUCGUCCGCCCUGGGUUAGUCGGGACCUAAGCUGAGGCCGAAAGGCGUAGGUGAUGGACAACAGGUUGAUAUUCCUGUACUACCGAUAACCGUUUGAGA